AUCCCGUCUUGUCAUGGUUUAGAUUUUAUACGAUACCCCUAAAUGGCCUUAACAACAAGCAACGAAGGCCGGAGUAAAUUGGAACUGAUCUAUCCAUCAAAAGUAAACGAAGUGGGAGAACGGUACGAAUUGUUGUAAAUUAUAACAACUCAUGUAUUUGCUCUGGUUUGAUUUAUUGAACAACACCACAAAGCAGUUAUAC
This 202-nucleotide ribosomal RNA is filed under the name Triticum aestivum (bread wheat). Its description in RNAcentral is "partial small subunit ribosomal RNA". The record is from RNAcentral. Lineage: Eukaryota; Viridiplantae; Streptophyta; Magnoliopsida; Poales; Poaceae.